This is a non-coding RNA of Thelephora ganbajun, 90 nucleotides long. NCBI's taxonomy places the organism in Eukaryota, Fungi, Basidiomycota, Agaricomycetes, Thelephorales, Thelephoraceae. The record is from the annotation of a GenBank genome assembly.
UGCCCCGUGGCUCAGUUGGUUAGAGCGUGUGACUGUUAUCCUAUUAGCCUAUCCAUCACAAGGUCGAGAGUUCGAGCCUCUCCGGGGCAG